AGGGCACCACCAGGAGUGGAGCCUGCGGCUUAAUUUGACUCAACACGGGAAAACUCACCCGGCCCGGACACUGUAAGGAUUGACAGACUGAGAGCUCUUUCUUAAUUCGGUGGGUGGUGGUGCAUGGCCGUUCUUAGUUGGUGGAGCGAUUUGUCUGGUUAAUUCCGAUAACGAACGAGACUCUGGCCUAUUAAAUAGAUGGUAUAUCUAAAAGUAUAUCACGCUUCUUAGAGGGACAAGCGGCUUUUAGCCGCAUGAAAUAGAGCAAUAACAGGUCUGUGAUGCCCUUAGAUGUCCGGGGCUGCACGCGCGCUACACUGAAGGAGUCAGAGUGCUUGUGCCUGGUUCGGAAGAACCGGGUAACCCAAGUAAAUUCUUUCGUGCUUGGGAUAGGGAAUUGCAAUUAUUUCCCUUAAACGAGGAAUUCCCAGUAAAUGCGGGUCAUAAGCUCGCGUUGAUUACGUCCCUGCCCUUUGUACACACCGCCCGUCGCUACUACCGAUUGGAUGACUUAGUGAG
This 519-nucleotide ribosomal RNA is filed under the name uncultured eukaryote. Its description in RNAcentral is "SSU rRNA". It matches the Rfam family "Eukaryotic small subunit ribosomal RNA", at positions 1161 to 1705 of the family's 1831-position model. The record is from RNAcentral.